This 253-nucleotide ribosomal RNA is filed under the name uncultured bacterium. RNAcentral's name for it is "partial 16S ribosomal RNA". It matches the Rfam family "Bacterial small subunit ribosomal RNA", at positions 524 to 776 of the family's 1533-position model. The record is from RNAcentral.
UACGUAGGUGGCGAGCGUUGUCCGGAUUUACUGGGCGUAAAGAGCGCGCAGGCGGUCGUACAAGUCGCGUGUGAAGGCCCCUGGCUCAACUGGGGAGGGUCACGCGAUACUGUUCGACUUGAAGGCAGGAGAGGGAAGUGGAAUUCCCGGUGUAGUGGUGAAAUGCGUAGAUAUCGGGAGGAACACCAGUGGCGAAGGCGACUUCCUGGCCUGUUCUUGACGCUGAGGCGCGAAAGCUAGGGUAGCAAACGGG